This is a long non-coding RNA of Mauremys mutica (yellowpond turtle), 348 nucleotides long. RefSeq lists it as uncharacterized. The transcript is spliced from 3 exons. The record is from RefSeq and is a predicted model, not a curated record. NCBI's taxonomy places the organism in Eukaryota, Metazoa, Chordata, Testudines, Geoemydidae.
GCAGGCGUGGGGCUAGACAAUGACUGGCAAUAGCCUUAUACUGAGAUCACAUGACUGACCCCCGAGAGCCAGGUCUUCUGAGAGAUAUCAAAGGCAGCCUCAGGAGUGGGGAGAGGCUGGAGAUGGCGACCUGCAAAGAGGCUACUGACGGACUCCAGGGAGGAACCAGCAGGCAUCCAGUCUUGAUGUGAAGACAGACAGAGAUGAAGAAUCCACCGCUCCCACUGAUAGUUUGUUCCAAAGGUGAAUCACCCUCUCUGUUUUUUGCCUUAUUUCUAAUUUGAAUGUGUCUGGUUAUAACCUCUAUCCAUUGGAAGUCACCUCUUGAAAUUAUUUAUGAUAAACUAA